CUUUUAUCUCUUUUCUUGCCUGAUUAAACUGGCCAGCACCUCCAGUGUCAUAUGGAAAAGAACUGUUGAGAGUGGGCCUCCUUGCCUGGUCCCUGAUCUUGAAGCAGAAAGCAUUCAGUCUUUCACCAAUUUGCAAGUUCAGGAAACGGCUCCAAUUGAAAUGGCUCCAAUUCAUCCCAUCUUCAGGACGAGACUCUUCUUAAAGGAUCUUAAAUAAAGAAUAUCAUAACUGUAGCAGAAAAGAAGAGUGGGAUCCUGCUGGGAGACCCUCAAUACAAUAAAGUGAUGGGUGCACCCCUGUCCUAAGGAAACAUUACCAUGUGUCUUUGGAAAGAGGAUUCUGCAGUCACAGGUGUGCAAAGCUGUAGAUGGGUCUAUAUUGAAUUUUCCAAGGAGGAGCCAUCUUUCUUCAGUGACAUUCAAUUUCUAGUUUCUCUGCUGAUCAUCAGUUUUCUUCAGAAGUCUGACACAAGGGUAUGAUGUUUGGGCAGAAAUCAUGCAAAAAGCCUCCCUGAUCAUGGGCUGCAUUUCCAGUGUCACAGAGUGCCUUCCAGGAAGGAAAGUUCUGGGACCCUGACAGGGAAGGAAAACAAGGAGACACCCACAGUGAUGUAAAUGCUGCUGGGGCCAGGGUGUCGUCAAGCCACCUUCCCACCCAACCCAGGGCCACCAGACAUGUUCAGAGAGCUCCAGCCAGGGCUCCUGAUGCCUGUUCUAAAGCCAGCGCCCCACCACAGAACUGCAAGGCAGGAAGGAAAAUCUGGGCCAUAAAUACUUUUCUGCCUUUGUCAAGAAUAAAGUAAUCCACAAUUAUUUUGCUUUGGUGAGCUGUAGAAUAGAAGUCUCUCCUAAAAUUCAGCCUUGAGCUAUAGCCGUACGGCCCUUGGAGGCCUUCACUUGGUGUCUCACAUGUUUCUCCAGGGAAACCAGACUUUCCCCUAAAACAUGUCUGUUUUGAAACUUCCCUCCUCACAGCUUGACUCCUGUGUUGGUAUGCUUCUUCUCACCUCAUAGCCACCCUAGAUGGCGCAUCUGUUCUCCUUUGUCCAGAUUUGGACCAGAUUCAUAACUGGAUCAUGGGGCUCACUCCUCCUCUCUCUGAUCCAUUAAAAUGUUAAGCAGAUUGUCUCACUACCCUGUGCCAACCCUUCAUUGAUUUCAUUGCAAUUAGAAUAAAAUCAGAUCUUCUCACCAUAGCCGGUGGCCCCUAGCCUAGACCUCUGCCCAUCAAUCUGACCUCACUUCCCUCCAUGUUCCCCUUCAUCAUCACACUGGACACAUGGGUCUCCUCAUUUUCCUGGCCAUGGCCAGCUCCCCCUACCUCUGGGACACCGCUGAGUGGCCUUUCUGCCUGGUCAGCUCUUUCCCAGUCUACACAUGGCUUUCACUGUGCAUGGGCCAUCCCUGAACACCUUCCCUAUGGUAAAUACUUCCAUUCCCACCAUUAUUAAACCAUCUCUUUUCUUCAUGUUACUUAAAACAGUUUAAACUGUCUUAUAUUAUGCAUUGUGUUCUUGAAUUGUAUGUGUCUCUGGCUCUAGAAUGUGAGCUCCAGGAGGGGUGGACCACACCUGUCUGGUUCAGAGUUAUAAGCAGAGUGCCUGGGCCAGGGCCUGACCCUGAGGGGUCUUCCAUCCUUUACUAAAGGAUUAUGUUACAUUCACAUUUAAUUGUAUGUCUACACACAGGUCAUCACAAUGAGAAAUGAGAAUAUUUCACAUAGUGCUGCCAAAACAUGAUCAAGAGGAAGUUAUUGUAUAAAAAAGUUUAUAGAAAGACCUUGUCCAUUAAGAAUCGUUGCUAUAUACUAUAAACAUCUGUUCUACUUUAAGUUGUGAGUGAUAAAUAAAUGACAAGCAAUAGGAUAUAUUGGAGCAUAUGAGGAAGCCAUUUGGGGUAAAACUAAGUCGGCCUUGGUUUGUUUUUCCAAAAGAGCCUGUCACCUGCAUUGUGUGUCAGCCUAGCCACGUCCCAAAGAGAAGAGUAAAUGCCCUUAAGAUAAGGAUACAACUUCCCCCACAUUGGCAUUUCCUUAAGGAUAAGAAUUUCUCCCUGAUUUGAUUGCUGCACUCAUCCUAUAAUCACCCAGCUUGAGACAACAGACCCGACACCAGCCACACCCAUCGAGACACCAGACCUGCUCCCUGCUGUGUCCAUCAAUAGCUAUUCUGGCAGGGCAAUCUGACAGGGUGAUCUUGUGGCUAUUGUAAAUGGGACAUUGGAAUCCUAUGUGAUACAUGCUCUUUGACAGUAUAUAACUGCUCUGUACACCCCACUUCUUUGGUGCCCUUCCUUCCUUACAGAAGGAAUGCCCUGGGAUAUGGUCCUCAAAAGUUGGCUCAUAACAAACUCACCCCAAUUUAGAUUUAUGGAUUGAUUAUGGAUUAUUUACAUCAAC
Molecule: long non-coding RNA, 2398 nt
Organism: Diceros bicornis minor
Lineage: Eukaryota; Metazoa; Chordata; Mammalia; Perissodactyla; Rhinocerotidae
Exons: 3
Source: RefSeq, a predicted model, not a curated record